RNAcentral lists this ribosomal RNA (407 nucleotides) under uncultured bacterium. RNAcentral's name for it is "partial 16S ribosomal RNA". It matches the Rfam family "Bacterial small subunit ribosomal RNA", at positions 30 to 526 of the family's 1533-position model. The record is from RNAcentral.
AUUGAACGCUAGCGGGAUGCCUUACACAUGCAAGUCGAACGGAGUGGCGAACGGGUGAGUAAUGUAUAGGAACGUGCCCAGUAGCGGGGGAUAACUCCGCGAAAGCGUAGCUAAUACCGCAUACUAUUGAAGCGGCCGAUAUCGUAUUAGCUAGUUGGUGGGGUAACGGCUCACCAAGGCGACGAUCCUUAGCUGGUGUGAGAGGACGACCAGCCAAACUGGGACUGAGACACGGCCCAGACUCCUACGGGAGGCAGCAGUGGGGAAUGUUGGGCAAUGGGGGAAACCCUGAUCCAGCCAUCCAGAGUGUGCGAUGAAGGCCUUCGGGUUGUAAAGCACUUUUGGCAGGAAAGCGGUACCUGCAGAAUAAGCACCGGCUAACUACGUGCCAGCAGCCGCGGUAAUUC